CCCAUUAGACCACACUUAAACUACACAGUGUCCUCAAUGUGUCACAAUCAUCAGAUCAGAAAUCAGAACAGUCAACAGAUCAUGGACAAGUGCAAUAAAAGCAGGAAAGGGAGAGAAGGGAAAGAAGAAAACUCUCCUGAUCAUGGUGGCAGUUGCCAAUUUUGGACUUUCAGGGAAAUGUCUUCCACCACGGUAUUCAGCCAGGAAGUGUUGAAGAGGAAUUGCUUCAGUCUCCAGAUUUGAUCAAGCAGGGAGAUGUCCUCCAUAGCUGGAUCUAAGAAGAAGUGAUUGUUGAUGAGUGGGUUCAGCUGGUGCCUAUUAACCUUCAAACUGUCAACAUCUUUGUCUUCCACCAUGGGUGUGUGUUGGCCAAAUUCAUAUGUACCUCCUGCAACAUGGUUAGUGCAAUAUGGUUCCACAGAAAUGACAUGCAGGGGUAUAACACCCAAUCCCAGUGUAACAAGCUGACCCUCAGAUAUACCCUC
This 485-nucleotide long non-coding RNA is filed under the name Vigna radiata. RNAcentral describes it as "long non-coding RNA (VRAD_LNC004708)". Lineage: Eukaryota; Viridiplantae; Streptophyta; Magnoliopsida; Fabales; Fabaceae. The record is from RNAcentral.